UUUCCGUAGGUGAACCUGCGGAAGGAUCAUCCAUAAUAAAGUGUUUUAUGGCACUUUUUAAAAAUCCAUAUCCACCUUGUGUGCAAUGUUAGAUCUCGUCAAUCUUGGCGAGAUUUUUAUACAUCAACCCAUUCUUUAACUAAUUUGUCUGAAAAAUAUUAUGAAUACUUAAUUCAAAAUACAACUUUCAACAACGGAUCUCUUGGCUCUC
RNAcentral lists this unclassified non-coding RNA (211 nucleotides) under plant metagenome. Its description in RNAcentral is "partial contains small subunit ribosomal RNA, internal transcribed spacer 1, and 5.8S ribosomal RNA". The record is from RNAcentral.